GCAAUUGUAGCUUAAAGUUAAAAGCAUUGGUCUUGUAAGCCAAAAAUAGAUCUAAUUAUCUCAGUUGCU
RNAcentral lists this transfer RNA (69 nucleotides) under Aliger gigas (queen conch). Its description in RNAcentral is "Strombus gigas tRNA-Thr". It matches the Rfam family "tRNA". Rfam says of the family: Transfer RNA (tRNA) molecules are approximately 80 nucleotides in length. Their secondary structure includes four short double-helical elements and three loops (D, anti-codon, and T loops). The record is from RNAcentral. Lineage: Eukaryota; Metazoa; Mollusca; Gastropoda; Littorinimorpha; Strombidae.